UACGUAGAGUGCAAGCGUUGUCCGGAAUUAUUGGGCGUAAAGAGCUCGUAGGCGGUCUGUUGCGUCUGCUGUGAAAACCCGGGGCUUAACCCCUGGCUUGCAGUGGAUACGGACAGACUAGAGGUAGGUAGGGGAGAAUGGAAUUCCCGGUGUAGCGGUGAAAUGCGCAGAUAUCGGGAGGAACACCGGUGGCGAAGGCGGUUCUCUGGGCCUUACCUGACGCUGAGGAGCGAAAGCGUGGGGAGCGAACAGG
Molecule: ribosomal RNA, 253 nt
Filed under: uncultured bacterium
Lineage: Bacteria
Description: partial 16S ribosomal RNA
Rfam family: Bacterial small subunit ribosomal RNA
Source: RNAcentral